UGAGGAAUUUUCCGCAAUGAGCGAAAGCUUGACGGAGCAAUGCCGCGUGGAGGAAGAAAGCCUAUGGGUUGUAAACUCCUUUUCUCGGAGAAGAAUACUGACGGUAUCCGAGGAAUAAGCAUCGGCAAAAUCUGUGCCAGCAGCCGCGGUAAGACAGGUGAUGCAAGUGUUAUCCGGAAUGAUUGGGCGUAAAGCGUCUGUAGGUGGUUUACCAAGUCUGUUGUUAAAACUCAGGGCUUAACCCUGAUCCGGCAAUAGAAACUAGUAGGCUAGAGUACGGUAGGGGCAGAGGGAAUUUUCGGUGUAGUGGUGAAAUACGUAGAUAUCGAGAAGAACACCAAUAGCGAAAGCACUCUGCUGGGCCGAAACUGACAUUGAGAGACGAAAGCUAGGGGAGCGAAAGG
This 404-nucleotide ribosomal RNA is filed under the name uncultured bacterium. RNAcentral describes it as "bacterial SSU rRNA". It matches the Rfam family "Bacterial small subunit ribosomal RNA", at positions 355 to 775 of the family's 1533-position model. The record is from RNAcentral.